RNAcentral lists this ribosomal RNA (468 nucleotides) under uncultured bacterium. RNAcentral's name for it is "partial 16S ribosomal RNA". It matches the Rfam family "Bacterial small subunit ribosomal RNA", at positions 28 to 507 of the family's 1533-position model. The record is from RNAcentral.
GACGAACGCUGGCGGCGUGCUUAACACAUGCAAGUCGAACGGAAAGGCCCUGCUUUUGUGGGGUGCUCGAGUGGCGAACGGGUGAGUAACACGUGAGUAACCUGCCCUUGACUUUGGGAUAACUUCAGGAAACUGGGGCUAAUACCGGAUAGGAGCUCCUGCUGCAUGGUGGGGGUUGGUAAGUUUCGGCGGUUGGGGAUGGACUCGCGGCUUAUCAGCUUGUUGGUGGGGUAGUGGCUUACCAAGGCUUUGACGGGUAGCCGGCCUGAGAGGGUGACCGGCCACAUUGGGACUGAGAUACGGCCCAGACUCCUACGGGAGGCAGCAGUGGGGAAUAUUGCACAGUGGGCGGAAGCCUGAUGCAGCAACGCCGCGUGCGGGAUGACGGCCUUCGGGUUGUAAACCGCUUUCGCCUGUGACGAAGCGUGAGUGACGGUAAUGGGUAAAGAAGCACCGGCUAACUACGUG